UACGAAGGGUGCAAGCGUUACUCGGAAUUACUGGGCGUAAAGCGUGCGUAGGUGGUGAGUUAAGUCUGUCGUGAAAGCCCCGGGCUCAACCUGGGAAUGGCGAUGGAUACUGGCUCGCUAGAGUGCGGUAGAGGAGAGUGGAAUUCCCGGUGUAGCAGUGAAAUGCGUAGAGAUCCGGAGGAACACCGACGGCGCAGGCAGCGUCCUGGCCGCUUGCUGACACUGAGGCACGAAAGCUGGGGGAGCAAACAGG
This 253-nucleotide ribosomal RNA is filed under the name uncultured bacterium. RNAcentral describes it as "partial 16S ribosomal RNA". It matches the Rfam family "Bacterial small subunit ribosomal RNA", at positions 524 to 776 of the family's 1533-position model. The record is from RNAcentral.